Molecule: ribosomal RNA, 254 nt
Filed under: uncultured bacterium
Lineage: Bacteria
Description: partial 16S ribosomal RNA
Rfam family: Bacterial small subunit ribosomal RNA
Source: RNAcentral
UACGUAGGGACCAAGCGUUGUUCGGAUUUCCUGGGCGUAAAGGGCGCGUAGGCGGCAAUUCAAGUCAUCUGUGAAAUCUCCGGGCUUAACUCGGAACGGUCAGAUGAUACUGCUUUGCUAGAGUGCGGAAGGGGCAAUCGGAAUUCUCGGUGUAGCGGUGAAAUGCGUAGAUAUCGAGAGGAACACCUGAGGUGAAGACGGGUUGCUGGGCCGACACUGACGCUGAGUGCGCGAAAGCCAGGGGAGCAAACGGG